AUCCUAACUUCGGUCACACUGUGAUGUUUGUUCAAAUUUAGGUGAGUGAAGUACAUAGUGCACUUAAGUAGUAGCUUUAAGGGGAAUUUUUAUUCCUUUGUUCAGGAAAACACAAAAACACAAGUGGACACAACUGUCCAGAGUAGGACAACCAACAGAUUCAGACUAUUUAACUUUAACCAUGUUGGACAAUCAGAGACCUCAAAAAUAUUAUUGGUUCUGGUCAGCUACCAGCAAUGCUGCAUGGAGAAAUGAGGGAACUGUAUGUGUGGACUAAUUCUGACACCCGUUUGUCAGUACAGUGAAACAGUAAUUGUGUUUUAAUGUGUAAACAUGUACAGGUCCUGUUAGCAAAGUCAGCAGCAGGACUAUUUUGAUAACAUCUUCAAUUGCACAAAAUUGCCUCAUGUACGUAUAUAAAGAAGGUAAUGGUGCACACUCUUACAUGACAAAUAAAAAAACUCAAUUUUCUCUGUUCAUCAAUACUGCUGUUCUGAAAUUCUUUGUCUUGGAAGACAUAUAGAAAAAAUUAUGUUUUAAAAAACAAAUAUGUAUGUGUGGACAAGUCCAAAGUGAGUAUUUGUCAUGUGACUUUUAUUUUGCGUAUCAUAACGUUUUCUUAAGACUCUACUGGCAACUACAUUGUCAAACCCAAAUACUUCCACACACGAAUUCCCCUGAUCACCCGGUCAACACAUCUUUGCUCACAAUAGCAGGUGAAAUUUACUAACCUGCAGUCAUUCACAUGCAACUUACAACAAAGAAAACAUUAACAACACCAACUCUAUCCUGGAAGAAA
Molecule: long non-coding RNA, 799 nt
Organism: Acanthochromis polyacanthus (spiny chromis)
Lineage: Eukaryota; Metazoa; Chordata; Actinopteri; Pomacentridae
Exons: 3
Source: RefSeq, a predicted model, not a curated record